This is a long non-coding RNA of Mus musculus (house mouse), 830 nucleotides long. RefSeq annotates it as predicted gene, 40424. The transcript is spliced from 3 exons. NCBI's taxonomy places the organism in Eukaryota, Metazoa, Chordata, Mammalia, Rodentia, Muridae. The record is from RefSeq and is a predicted model, not a curated record.
GCAGAAGCCAGAGGGACUCAUUGCAACGAACAUUUGUAACUAAAGCAGUUUGGGUAAAAGGGUAUACUGUGUGACAUGCCAUGACAUCACAGGUAUACUGUGUGACAUGCCAUGACAUCACAGGUAUACUGUGUGACAUGCCAUGACACCACAGCUUUCAUGGCGAGAUAGCUUUUUGUUGCUUUGUUUAUUUUAUUUCUGUUCCUUUUGCGGGGGAGGUUGCAAAGAUGAAGGAAAGAUAGGAAGGGAUAUGAGUGGAUUGGGGUGCAUGAUGUAAAAUUCUUGAAUUGAUAAUUUUAAAAGGGGGGGACGACUGUGAAUCCAGAAUUCCACCUCCUCCACACAAGAGGUGUCCUUCCUAUGGACAUUGGAGAUAAAGACCUUUUUUGUUGUUCUCCAACAAAAUGCCAUGUGCCCCACGUCUUUAUUUUGGUGUGUUGGGAUUGAAGUUUCAACAAGGAUCUAGGGAGACACAUGCUCACAUCCAACACCACGGCUCGCUUCCCCUAGACAUGGGAGUCUUUCAUGCUCAGCUGGACAGUAGGCAUGAACUGAAAUCGGAAAGAGAUUUAAGUGCUCUUCACAGCUCCUAGUCAGAUCAAGUCCCUGCUGUGUGGGACGUGGCACCUGUGAAUGACCCACUCACCAUGACCAGAAUUUUCUAUCCUCUCAGCCUAAAGUCACAACAACAAGAGCCAUGACAAUACAAUUCAGUGGAAGAGGGCUUGCCUGGUAGGUAUGAGGCCCUCAAUAGUGGUCUCAGCCUUCUAAAUGCUGUGACCCUGUAAUACAGUUCCUCAUGUUGUGGUGACCCACCCCCCAACCAUAAA